This 533-nucleotide ribosomal RNA is filed under the name Coptotermes sp. 1 BH-2011. RNAcentral describes it as "eukaryotic LSU rRNA". Lineage: Eukaryota; Metazoa; Arthropoda; Insecta; Blattodea; Rhinotermitidae. The record is from RNAcentral.
GGGGAGAUUCAGCCCCGUCCGCGAAGGUCGGCCCCCGGGCGGUUGCUCCCGGAUGCUCCCGGCCGCCGGUCGUGCCGAAAGGUGCGCGCUGGUGUGAGUCGGGGGCACCGGCCGCCCGGGGUCUAAAGCCGCGGCCGCGGCGGGGUGCACUUCUGGCCCCAAGUUGGACGUCGCGACCCGUUGGACGAGUCUACGGACGAUGCGGCCUAAGGCCCGGGACUGAGACCGAGGGUGCUUCCGCUGAGGCGCGGGUCCAAGGUGCCCUCGGACCCCGGUUAAAGCCCGGCCGCCCUCCGACGGUCUUUACUAAUGGGAGGAUAAAGGCCGGCUACCCUCGCUCCUCGCAAGGGGGGCGGGGCGCGAGCGUCCGGCCCGUUGGGGCAAGCUCUCCGGGGGUUCAAGCCGGGUGUGUGUGGCUCUCGUCACGCCCCCGGCCCCCGGCAGGCUGUUGGCCCCCGGUGCCCUCGGACCUCUAUCGGCCACUCCAGUCGGCGGCGCUUAAGAUUCGGGUGCUCUCCCGACCCGUCUUGAAA